Molecule: ribosomal RNA, 431 nt
Filed under: uncultured bacterium
Lineage: Bacteria
Description: partial 16S ribosomal RNA
Rfam family: Bacterial small subunit ribosomal RNA
Source: RNAcentral
AACGAACGCUGGCGGCAGGCCUAACACAUGCAAGUCGAGCGCACAUUCGGGGGUGCGGCGGACGGGUGAGUAUCGCCUGGGAAUAUGCCCUUCUCUACGGAAUAUCCUCGGGAAACUGAGAUUAAUUCCGUAUACGCGAUGUGGGGGAAAGUUUUAUCGGGGAAGGAAUAGUGCGCGUUGGAUUGGGUAGUUUGUGGGGUAAUGGCGUACCAGGCCGACGGUCCAUAGCUGUUGUGAGAGGAUGAGCAGCCACACUGGGGCUGAGACACGGCACAGACUCCUACGAGAGGCAGCAGUGGGGAAUCUUGGACAAGGGGGGCAGCCCUGAUGUUGCCAGGCCGCGUGAGUGAUGAAGGCCUUAAGGUUGUAAAGCUCAUUCAGCUGGGAAGAUAGUGACGGUACCGGCAGAAGAAGCCCCGGCUAACUCCGUG